This 538-nucleotide ribosomal RNA is filed under the name Johora gapensis. RNAcentral describes it as "16S rRNA". It matches the Rfam family "Bacterial large subunit ribosomal RNA", at positions 1832 to 2625 of the family's 2925-position model. The record is from RNAcentral. Lineage: Eukaryota; Metazoa; Arthropoda; Malacostraca; Decapoda; Potamidae.
GUCUAUUUGAAGUUAUAAAGAGUCUGACCUGCCCCCUGAUUUAUGAGUUAAAGGGCCGCGGUAUUAUGACCGUGCAAAGGUAGCAUAAUCAUUAGAUUUUUAAUUGAGAUCUUGUAUGAAGGGUUGGACAAAAGAAUAACUGUCUUUAAAUUAAAUUUUGAAUUUAACUUUUAAGUGAAAAGGCUUAAAUAAUCUAAAGGGACGAUAAGACCCUAUAAAACUUUACAUUAUAGUUAUAUUUUUUUGAAUUUAGUAUAAAAGUUUAAUUUGAUUAUUUGUUAUAUUGGGGAGAUAUAAGCUAAAUUAGUUUUAACUGCUUAAAAUUAAAACAAUUAUAUAUGAAUAAAAGAUCCUUUAUAAAGAUUAAAAAAUUAAGUUACUUUAGGGAUAACAGCGUUAUUUCUUUAGAGAGUUCUUAUCGAGAAAGAAGAUUGCGACCUCGAUGUUGAAUUAAAAUAUCUAUAUAAUGUAGCGGUUAUAUUAGAAGGUCUGUUCGACCUUUAAAAUUUUACAUGAUUUGAGUUCAAACCGGUGUGAG